Musa acuminata AAA Group (dessert banana) is the source of this 1569-nucleotide long non-coding RNA. RefSeq lists it as uncharacterized. Lineage: Eukaryota; Viridiplantae; Streptophyta; Magnoliopsida; Zingiberales; Musaceae. The record is from RefSeq and is a predicted model, not a curated record. The transcript has 4 exons.
CCAACGUGAACCGAGCAAAUCUCCGUCCGAUCGCAGUGAAUCCUGUCGACCACGAGCUGAAAAGAUUCGACUGUGUUUGCAUAUCAAGCUUGGAUUCCAAAGGCAAAUAACAUAAGCAGCUUGGCCUGACAAGAUUACUCUGACCUUUCUGCUUCGUACUGUGAUGAGAUUCACGUAUUCUAGCUUUUGCGGUAAAGCAGUGAUGGGUUUCCUGCUUAGGUUUGUUCAGUAUCUGAUUGCCUGUGUGUGACAGCUUUACAUACAGAUGGUUGUUCUCCCUGCAUCAUUCUUUGUCUGGAUUUGAUUUGCCUCGGUGUUCAUCACGCCGCCACCUUUUGAGUCUCUGCUGAGCCAAAGCGUGUUUUUUCUUGCGAAAUCUAUCUACUCUUGUACAUCAUCACCUUUCCCGGAGAACUGCGCUAUUGUUUGAUUUCGUUUAAGAGACUGUUCUCUGUCUUGUCCGGUGGAAUAAGAGAUGAGUGCAUCAUCGAGCAAUUCUGCGUCACAUGAGCCAGCUGCGAGUUCUUCUGAUAAGCGGGAGUUGGAAGCCCGUGGGAAGAACAAGAAUCAAGAUGAGACCAAAUUUCCUGUACCAUUCUACCGGCUGUUCUCGUUUGCAGACUCCACGGAUGUGAUUCUGACGGUCGUGGGAUCACUUGGUGCGCUGGGGAAUGGGCUUGCUCUGCCACUCAUGACCGUUCUGUUCGGGGAUUUGAUCCAGUCCUUUGGAGGAGCUUCGGACACACAUGAUGUCCUUCGUAGAGUUUCCAAGGUAGCCUUGGAAUUUGUCUACCUAGCAGUUGGAGCAGGCGUGGUAUCUUUGGAGGGUUCGUAGUUGCAUUUGUCCAAGGGUGGCUUCUCACCCUUGUCAUUCUGUGCGCCAUCCCUCCCUUGGUGGUUGCUGGAGGAGUCAUGGCCAUUAGUGUGGCCAGGAUGGCAUCAUUGGGACAAGCAGCUUAUGGAGAAGCUGCAGCGACAGUCGAGCAGACAAUUGGGUCAAUUAGGACAGUUGCAUCUUUUACUGGGGAAAGGCGAGCAGUAAAGAAAUAUGACAAGUCUUUGGUAAAUGCAUACAAUGCAAGUGUUCAAGAGAGUCUGGUUUCUGGAAUAAGUCUCGGCAGAGUCAUGCUUUUCAUGUUCGCUGGGUAUUCAUUGUGAAUAUGGCACGGAGCAAAGUUGAUAUUGCUAAAAGGUUACAAUGGUGGCAAGGUCGUCAAUGUGAUAUUUGCAAUCCUCACUGGCUCCUUGAUUUUGUGGUGGGUAUUAUGUCCAUGUAUUGAAGCUGAUGAAGACGAUCACUGUAAUUUACUGAGAAAAGACGUUGACAACAAAAAGUACUUGUGUUCUCAGUAUCAACGAAUGCACUGAAGUUACUUUCAGAGCUGCAAGAUGGAACGCUAACAGGCAUCAAGAACAUGAUAACAUAUCUCAAGCUCAAUUCAAUCAUGACCUGUUCUUUUUAAUUUUUGCCCGUGUAUUAUCUAGCUUGAUCAUGAAUGAUCUUAUCAUCAAACAAAUAUUCCUCUCCAAACUUGUGCGUAUACAUUAUGUUUCAUUGUUUAUAAUGCA